CCCGCUGGAACUUAAGCAUAUCAAUAAGCGGAGGAAAAGAAACUAACAAGGAUUCCCCUAGUAACGGCGAGUGAAGAGGGAAAAGCCCAAGUUUGAAAGCUGGCACCUUUGGUGUCCGCAUUGUAAACUCGAGAAGCAUUAUCCGCGCCGGACCAAGCUUUAAAUCCUUUGGAAUAAGGUACCUUAGAGGGUGAUAGUCCCUUUCAUAGUUUGGAACCCCCGGGGCUUUGUGAUUUGCUCUCCAGGAGUCGAGUUGUUUGGGAAUGCAGCUCAAAAUGGGUGGUAAAUGCCAUCUAAGGCUAAAUAUUGAGGAGAGACCGAUAGCGAACAAGUACCGUGAGGAAAGAUGAAAGAACUUUGGAAAGAGAGUUAAACAGUACGUGAAAUUGCCGGAAGGGAAGGGUAGGAAGUCAGACAUGCCUUUGCGGAUUCAGCUUGACCUUUUGAGGUUGUGUGUAUUUCCGUUUGGGCAGGCCAACAUCGAUUUUGGCUGUCGGAUAGGAAUGGAAGGAAUGUGGCACUCUUUUCGGAGGGUGUGUUAUAGCCUUCUAUUUGGUACGGCGGCUGGGAUCGAGGAACGCAGUGCACCCUUUUUUGGGCGGGCCUUCGGGCACCUUUGCACAUAGGAUGUUGGCUUAAUGGCUCUCUGCCACCCGUCUUGAAACACGGACCAAGGAGUCUAACAUGUAUGCGAGUCUUUGGGUGUGAAAACCCAUGGGCGAAAUGAAAGUGACCUUUAAGGUGGGACUCUUUGGAUGCACCAUCGACCGAUCUUGAAUUUUUAUAAUGACGGAUUUGAGUAAGAGCAUAUAUGUUGGGACCCGAAAGAUGGUGAACUAUGCCUGAAUAGGGUGAAGCCAGGGGAAACUCUGGUGGAAGCUCGUAGCGGUUCUGACGUGCAAAUCGAUCGUAAAAUUUGGGUAUAGGGGCGAAAGACUAAUCGAACCAUUAAGAUACUUAGGUGGUUAAGAGGCAGCUAAAAGGGCAUGUCUAGUGGGCGUUGAGGCCUGCGACACUAUCAAAUUGCGGGAACACCCUAAAGCUUUGACUACCGCGGCUCAUGGAAACAUAGAGUGCAGCACCAGGGUAACGACCUCGGGGAUGGUAAAAACGUCAAAGAUAUUGCAAUGGGCAAUCCGCAGCCAAGCUCUAAGGGACCGCAAGGGGGUGGCCUACGAGUGCAGUUCACAGACUAAAUGGUAGUGGGUGAUUUUGAUUGAAAUUGCUUAAGAUAUAGUCGACCCCUCUGCGAAAGCAGGCUUUAUGGAUGAAGCUUGA
RNAcentral lists this non-coding RNA (1278 nucleotides) under Thecaphora thlaspeos. RNAcentral's name for it is "LSU rRNA". It matches the Rfam family "Eukaryotic large subunit ribosomal RNA", at positions 24 to 1501 of the family's 3401-position model. Lineage: Eukaryota; Fungi; Basidiomycota; Ustilaginomycetes; Urocystidales; Glomosporiaceae. The record is from RNAcentral.